UACGAAGGGGGCUAGCGUUGUUCGGAAUUACUGGGCGUAAAGGGCGCGUAGGCGGUGCGUCAAGUCAGGCGUGAAAGCCCCGGGCUCAACCUGGGAACCGCGCUUGAGACUGGCACGCUCGAGUUCGGGAGAGGAUGGUGGAAUUCCCAGUGUAGAGGUGAAAUUCGUAGAUAUUGGGAAGAACACCGAUGGCGAAGGCAGCCAUCUGGACCGACACUGACGCUGAGGCGCGAAAGCGUGGGGAGCAAACAGG
This 253-nucleotide ribosomal RNA is filed under the name uncultured bacterium. RNAcentral's name for it is "partial 16S ribosomal RNA". It matches the Rfam family "Bacterial small subunit ribosomal RNA", at positions 524 to 776 of the family's 1533-position model. The record is from RNAcentral.